Molecule: transfer RNA, 73 nt
Filed under: Paludibacteraceae bacterium
Lineage: Bacteria; Pseudomonadati; Bacteroidota; Bacteroidia; Bacteroidales; Paludibacteraceae
Also listed under: 1 other name
Description: tRNA-Gly
Rfam family: tRNA
About the family: Transfer RNA (tRNA) molecules are approximately 80 nucleotides in length. Their secondary structure includes four short double-helical elements and three loops (D, anti-codon, and T loops).
Source: RNAcentral
GCGGUAAUAGCUCAGUUGGUAGAGCGUUGGCUUCCCAAGCCGAAGGUCGCGGGUUCGAGUCCCGUUUACCGCU